CAGAGUAAAGGAAUAUGCGUCAAGUGUUUGCUGUACGGGGAGUUGACAGCAGGACGAAGGAGCAAGAAGCUCCGCGGUAUAUUCUUUGCAUCCCGCUGU
RNAcentral lists this non-coding RNA (99 nucleotides) under uncultured Ruminococcus sp. Its description in RNAcentral is "THF riboswitch". It matches the Rfam family "THF (Tetrahydrofolate) riboswitch aptamer". From Rfam's summary of the family: THF riboswitch presents a pseudoknot that joins P1-P2 and the loop of P3 and two THF binding. Lineage: Bacteria; Bacillati; Bacillota; Clostridia; Eubacteriales; Oscillospiraceae. The record is from RNAcentral.